AAUGCAUAUUGCGCCUGCUAGUACUCUGGCGGGCAUACCUGUUUGAGCGACAUUUCUCCCUUCAAGCUAUAGGUGCCUGGUGUUGGGGUUGCCCCGUCCUCUGCCCGGCGGGGGUCCCAAAAGAGAGUGGCGGACCCUCUUUUAGGCCCGGGCGGGGUAACAAUAGCUCACCUAGAUACAUAUGGGGCGCGCUAGCCGUCAACCACCCCUCCCGCCCGCGGGAAGGCAACCGUUUACUGACCUCGAAUCAGCUAGGACUACCCGCUAAACUUAA
Molecule: unclassified non-coding RNA, 274 nt
Filed under: uncultured Ascomycota
Lineage: Eukaryota; Fungi; Ascomycota
Description: sequence contains 5.8S rRNA gene, ITS2, 28S rRNA gene
Source: RNAcentral